UACGUAGGGUGCGAGCGUUAAUCGGAAUUACUGGGCGUAAAGCGUGCGUAGGCGGCUAUGUAAGACAGAUGUGAAAUCCCUGGGCUUAACCUAGGAACUGCAUUUGUGACUGCAUUGCUAGAGUGUGGUAGAGGGAGAUGGAAUUCCGCAUGUAGCAGUGAAAUGCGUAGAUAUGCGGAGGAACACCAAUGGCGAAGGCAAUCUCCUGGACCUGCACUGACGCUCAUGCACGAAAGCGUGGGGAGCAAACAGG
This 253-nucleotide ribosomal RNA is filed under the name uncultured bacterium. RNAcentral's name for it is "partial 16S ribosomal RNA". It matches the Rfam family "Bacterial small subunit ribosomal RNA", at positions 524 to 776 of the family's 1533-position model. The record is from RNAcentral.